Molecule: ribosomal RNA, 251 nt
Filed under: uncultured bacterium
Lineage: Bacteria
Description: partial 16S ribosomal RNA
Rfam family: Bacterial small subunit ribosomal RNA
Source: RNAcentral
GCAAGUCGAGGGGUAACAGGAGUUCUUGCACUCGCUGACGACCGGCGCACGGGUGCGUAACGCGUAUAGAACUUACCUUUUACAGAGGGAUAGCCUUUAGAAAUGAAGAUUAAUACCUCAUAGUACUAUAGAUUCGCAUGAAUUUAUACUUAAAGAUUUAGCGGUUAAAGAUGGGUAUGCGUCCUAUUAGCUAGUUGGUAAGGUAACGGCUUACCAAGGCAGCGAUAGGUAGGGGGCCUGAGAGGGAGAUC